This 506-nucleotide ribosomal RNA is filed under the name uncultured bacterium. RNAcentral's name for it is "bacterial SSU rRNA". It matches the Rfam family "Bacterial small subunit ribosomal RNA", at positions 28 to 524 of the family's 1533-position model. The record is from RNAcentral.
GACGAACGCUGGCGGCGUGGAUUAGGCAUGCAAGUCGAACGGUAGGAUACCUUCGGGUAUCUGAGAGUGGCGAACGGGUGAGUAACACGUAGGUGAUCUACCCUCAAGAUUGGGACAACCCAGGGAAACUUGGGCUAAUACCGGAUGAAAGCAGCAGUGAUGUUGUUUGAAAGGUGGCGUAAGCUGCCGUUUGGGGAUGAGCCUGCGCUCUAUUAGUUAGUUGGCGGGGUAAAGGCCCACCAAGGCGAUGAUAGGUAGGCGGCCUUAACGGGUGGUCGCCCACACUGGGAUUGAGAUACGGCCCAGACUCCUACGGGAGGCAGCAGUCGAGAAUAGUCUACAAUGGUCGGAAGACUGAUAGUGCGACGCCGCGUGAACGAUGAAUCCCUUCGGGGUGUAAAGUUCUUUUAUAUGUGAGCAGUGCUUCUUAUAUUAAACAGUAUGGGGAGAGAGAUAUUAGCAUAUGAAUAAGCAACGGCUAACUCCGUGCCAGCAGCCGCGUAAAC